Molecule: ribosomal RNA, 252 nt
Filed under: uncultured bacterium
Lineage: Bacteria
Description: partial 16S ribosomal RNA
Rfam family: Bacterial small subunit ribosomal RNA
Source: RNAcentral
UACGAAGGGGGCUAGCGUUGCUCGGAAUUACUGGGCGUAAAGCGCACGUAGGCGGCUUUGUAAGUAAGAGGUGAAAGCCCAGAGCUCAACUCUGGAAUUGCCUUUAGACUGCAUCGCUUGAAUCAUGGAGAGGUCAGUGGAAUUCCGAGUGUAGAGGUGAAAUUCGUAGAUAUUCGGAAGAACACCCAGUGGCGAAGGCGGCUGACUGGACAUGUAUUGACGCUGAGGUGCGAAAGCGUGGGAGCAAACAGG